UACGGAAGGCAGCAGUGGGGAAUAUUGCACAAUGGGCGCAAGCCUGAUGCAGCCAUGCCGCGUGUAUGAAGAAGGCCUUCGGGUUGUAAAAGUACUUUCAGCGGGGAGGAAGGCGGUGAAGUUAAUAGCUUCACCGAUUGACGUUACCCGCAGAAGAAGCACCGGCUAACUCCGUGCCAGCAGCCGCGGUAAUACGGAGGGUGCAAGCGUUAAUCGGAAUUACUGGGCGUAAAGCGCACGCAGGCGGUCUGUCAAGUCGGAUGUGAAAUCCCCGGGCUUAACCUGGGAACUGCAUUCGAAACUGGCAGGCUAGAGUCUUGUAGAGGGGGUAGAAUUCCAGGUGUAGCGGUGAAAUGCGUAGAGAUCUGGAGGGAAUACCGGGUGGCGAAGGCGGGCCCCUGGGACCAAAAGGCUGACGCUCGAGGUGCGAAAGCGUGGGGAGCAAACGAGGAUUAGGAUACCCGU
Molecule: ribosomal RNA, 465 nt
Filed under: uncultured bacterium
Lineage: Bacteria
Description: bacterial SSU rRNA
Rfam family: Bacterial small subunit ribosomal RNA
Source: RNAcentral